CGCCCUUAGAGUUUGAUCAUGGCUCAGAUUGAACGCUGGCGGCAGGCUUAACACAUGCAAGUCGAACGGUAUAGGUGCUUGCACCUGACGAGUGGCGGACGGGUGAGUAAUGUAUGGGGAUCUGCCGAAUGGAUUGGGACAACCACUGGAAACGGUGGCUAAUACCGAAUAAUGUUGAGAGACCAAAGUGUUUCGACAUGCCAUUUGAUGAACCCAUAUGGGAUUAGCUAGUAGGCGGGGUAAUGGCCCACCUAGGCGACGAUCUCUAGCUGGUCUGAGAGGAUGACCAGCCACACUGGGACUGAGACACGGCCCAGACUCCUACGGGAGGCAGCAGUGGGGAAUAUUGCACAAUGGGGGAAACCCUGAUGCAGCCAUGCCGCGUGUAUGAAGAAGGCCUUCGGGUUGUAAAGUACUUUCGGUAGUGAGGAAGGUUACUAUUAACAUAGUAAAUUGACGUUAUUACAGAAGAAGCACCGGCUAACUCCGUGCCAGCAGCCGCGGUAAUACGGAGGGUGCGAGCGUUAAUCGGAAUGACUGGGCUU
Molecule: ribosomal RNA, 545 nt
Filed under: uncultured Enterobacteriaceae bacterium
Lineage: Bacteria; Pseudomonadati; Pseudomonadota; Gammaproteobacteria; Enterobacterales; Enterobacteriaceae
Description: bacterial SSU rRNA
Rfam family: Bacterial small subunit ribosomal RNA
Source: RNAcentral